RNAcentral lists this non-coding RNA (119 nucleotides) under Chloroflexota bacterium. RNAcentral's name for it is "Chloroflexi bacterium TPP sequence". It matches the Rfam family "TPP riboswitch aptamer (THI element)". From Rfam's summary of the family: Vitamin B(1) in its active form thiamin pyrophosphate (TPP) is an essential coenzyme that is synthesised by coupling of pyrimidine and thiazole moieties in bacteria. The record is from RNAcentral. Lineage: Bacteria; Bacillati; Chloroflexota.
CUUUAUCGCUAGGGGUGCCAUUUUGGCUGAGAGAGCGCCGCGCUGUCAAGGCGGAGCACAAUCAACCCUUUAAACCUGAUUUGGGUAAUUCCAACGUAGGGAAGCGAGAUUUGAAUUAA